AGAAAUUAGAAGAAAUAAAAAAGGAAACAAAACAAGUUGUGAAAAGCAAAAACUCCAUUUGCAUCCUCUACGGCCUCACGCCACUUCCACAAAACACCAUUAAAAUUUCUUACUCCUCAAUCCAAUCUCAAAGUUUCAGCUGCUUGGAGGUUUUGAGUUCAUCUUCUCCAAAUCAAGUUUUAUUUGGUACUAAAUGUUUGUUGGGUAAUAGAAAUCAAGUAGAGUUAGGUAUUAACUUUAUUCUUCUUCAAUUUGGGUUAUUUAUAUUAUCUAUUUGGGUAAUUCAAAUUUAAGCAUUAAAUUGAAUUUAAGUUGAGCCUAUGGGUUCAAUUAAAAAUUGAGUUCUUGGUAGUGUUUAUUAUUAUUGGUUAUGUGGGUCAUUUGAUUUCUAGUAUCAAAUUGAGUAUUUUGGAGUUUUGAAAUUUCAGUUCAAAAUCUGAACAUUCUAUUUUGUAAUUUUCGGAACUGUGCUGAUUGUUUCUGGGUCUUGGUAUCUGCAUAUGACUUGUAGAGCUUCGAGUCGCGUGGCCACUUGAAUCACCUCAAAACGAGUUCGUUUGAAAGCGUUAUGCCUAAAAUACUAACAAGGUGAGCUUAAAAUCGAGUUGGAAGUUAAGACAAUGGAUAACUAUUGUUCAAGUUUGGAUUUCAAUUGGAUAAUCUUUUAAUCAAAUCAUUGGGGUUAUUUAUUAGUAUUUAUAUUUCUUCAAGUGAAUUGGAGUUCAAUCGAUAAUUGGGUUAGUAUCAAGUUAAAUUCGAAUUGGGGAAAUUAUGUUAUCAAAUUUCAGUUUAGAAACUGAUAUUUCUGUCUUGCGAAUUUCAGUACAUUUAUUUUCAUUUUGGAUUUUUGUGUCAUCACAUAAUUUGUGGAGCUCCAAGUCGCAGUCGUAUAGCCACUUGAUCGUCCCAUUUUGAUUCCGUACGAGUAAGUGAUGCUUGUUUUAGUAAUGAGGUGUCCUGAAACCAUUACGAAAUUUAUAAAUGGGGAUCAAAAGCUUUGGAAUUAAUUGGUUAAUCUUAUAAUCUUGUUUUCUAGCUCGUCUAAGCUUUUUAUUGGGUUUAUUGGAUGCAUUAAAGUGGAGGUUCGACUUUAUUUUGGUCUGGAGUAAACCAAAUUUAUGAGGAACUCAUCCAUGGUCAUUUUCAAGUACAUACAUGUGGUUUCUUUUUCAAAGCUUUUCUUGGAAUUGCUAUUUUGGGUAAAACUCUAACCAAUAAUUCUCUUUAAAGUAUUUAAAAGGUGUGGAAUAACUUGAUAUAAAAUCCAAAUUGGACCUUUGAUCAAGUUAAGUCAUAAUGUUGUGAUUUUGAUUGCAAUAAAAUUAUUUAAGCAAAAUUAUAUCAAGUAUUUGAUUAAGUUUCAUUGUAAGUCUAAGUUUAGAUUAAGUUUUAUGUUGGUUUGAUUGUGUGUGAAUAUUGAUUCGAAUUUGGGAUGUUGAGUUUAUCCAAAUGUGCCAAAAUCGCAACCCACGACAAGGUAGUUUUCAGUUUUCAGUCAAUUCAUGUUUUGGCCAUAUCUUCUUUGUUCGAGUUCAGAAUGAGGAAUAUGACCAGUGUUUACGACAACACAGAUGUCUAGAUUAAUAUUCAAUUGGCAUUUCUUCAAAAUGUUUUGUACAAUCUUAUUCAUGUGUCCAUAGAUUCCGAAAGGUACAAAAAUGACUUUGCUAAAAAUUGUUUAAACUUAUCAAACAAGUUGUUAUAGUUGUAAGGGUAGUGUAAACCUUAGUAUUAAGUUGGAAUUGACUUAUGGACCUAUAUAUAAAUUGUUAUAAUUUUGUUUAUAAUGUAUGUGCUAUUGUAAUGUUGCAUUUAUCUGAAAACAGUAACAUGAUUAUAAAAAGGCUUGAUAGUAAGGAAAUGCUGAACCAUGCUUCCGGCAUGUAAAAAAUGUGGGACGUGUUUUCCAGCACGUAAAAUACGACGAACAUAGUAAGGUUAUUUAACCUGACAUGUGGCUCGAGCAACAUUGCACUGGAGGAGUGACGACUCCUACUAAGCUGGGGUUUUGGUAUACCUCAUCCUUACAGGCCCUUACAUACAUCAAGCAAAGAUCAUUUGUGUUGCAUUCAUUUAAUAAAUAUUUGGAUUCCACACCCUAGUACUCAAGCAAAACUGUUUGUAAAUUACGCCCUAGUAAUCAAGCAGAAGGACCAAAAGUUAAAUAUAUAAAUUUAACAUAAAAAUGAAUCUCUUAUAUUACAUAAAACACCUUGCAUAUUAUUUUUUUUAAUGCACUUAUUUUUGCAUAUUACUCAUUGAAAUGCACAUAUUUCUAUACUUGUAAAAUUGUUGGCAUGUUUCUAUACUCUACUUAGUAGCUGAAUCGAUUCCCACUAUCUGCUCUAAUUUAUGUGAAGUCCUAAGUGCAAUCUGGAGUCCCUUUUGGGUGCUAUAAAGGUUUCAUUGUUUGGUGUACUAGUCAGCCGUGGUUGCUGAUACUACACAAUUUUUGUUGUCACUCUAAAUAAUUUUCCCUUGAGGGAUAGUGCAUUUAUGAGUGUUGCAGGUAUUAGUUUAUUGAAGUAUUUAUUUAUAAAAAUCUAAUUGGUUUGCUUAGACCUUUGGUCUGAGGUUUAAAUAACCCAAGUAAUUAGUCAAAAGUCUUUCGUUGUGUCACAUUAAGUAUUUUAUUAAAGGUAAUUAGGAUUCGGGCUGUUACAUUCUAUAUUGGAGAGAUCUAAAGGUUAGGCAUUGUCUUGAGGUUAUGCAUAUAGAGAAAAAUGUAUGCAAUGCCAUAGUCGGGACGCUCAUGAACAUUUCGGGUAAGACAAAGGAUGUUAAGGCCGUGCGAGAUUACUUUGAAUCUAAAGGUCUUCGUCUGGAGUUGUGGCCACAAGUUAUAGUGGGUAAGAAAAGAAAAAGAGCUGAAGAAGUACGUGGUAGUGACAAGGGAAAGAGCAAUAAGAAGAAGAUGAGUAAUGUUAAAAAUUAUUUGCUCCAACUUGCUAAACAUUGUCCAAGGAAUAUAAGCAGGCAUUUUGUGAGUCUCUGUAUGGCAUUAAGAUUCCUUGGGUACUCAUCCAACAUGAAAAUAUUUGUGACCGUAAAUAGUGAGUUGAAGUUAGGAAGCAUGAAAUCUCAUGAUUUCCAUGUAAUGAUGCAAGUGUUCUUACCAAUUGCAAUACGUGAAUACUUCCAAAACAUGUGAGAUAUGCUUGAUCCCUUUAAAUUUGAUGCUCUUCAAGUCGACGCGAUUGUAACUUUAUGCAAGUUUGAGAUGUAUUUUCCACCUUUUUUUUUAACAUAAUGGUUCAACUUUUUUUCCAUAUUGUUCGUGAAAUUAAGCUUUUAGGUCCAGUUUUUUUAAGGUGGUGUUAUCCUUUUGAAAGACAUAUGGGAGUUUUACAAAAUAACUUGAGGAAUCCAGCACAACCCGAGGGGAUAAUUCAAGGCACUGUAAGCGAUGAGAUUGGUAACUUUAUAGCUCAGUAUAUGGCCAUGGCAAAGCCUAUUGAACUUCCUACCUCUCGAUAUGAAGGAAGACUUGAGGAAAAAGUAACAAUUGGCUCCAAAUCAAUCACACCUCCCCGAGACAGUCUUCUACAAGCACACUUGUAUGUGUUGCAUCAUAUUUCAUAAGUCCAUCCUUUUUUGAAUGAGCGUUUUGAUAUAUUGCGUGGCAAAUAUCCUUCUAAAGAGGAUCGGGUAUUGAUGUAGUUGCAUAAUAAGAUGUUUAUUAAUUGGUUUCAUAAUCGAGUAUAUGUGAAGAAUUCAAGGGUGUAUCUUAAGUGUUAAGUGGUUAACUUUUAGUCCUCGCUAAAAUGUUAAUAAAAUAUGAGGGUUAUGAUUUCAAUGGGUUUACAUUUUGGACGGAGGGUCAAGAUUAGAAUUCAUCAUAUCUACAGAAUAGUGGUGUUUCUAUUUUGGCGUCAUCUUAAAUUGUUAUACUACUGGCGGGUACAUGAAAUAUGGGAACUGGACUACUCUAGUUUCACUAUUGGUAUUUUUAAAUGCAAGUAAGUAGAUAGCACUGUAUGAAGCGUAAAAAAUGAUCACCCUUGUGGAUUCACUAUUGUAGACUUAACUCUUUUGCAUGAUAGUGGGGAGCCAUUUAUACUAGUCACACAAGCUAAGCAAGUAUUCUACAUUAUAGACUCAUCUGCUAAAAAAUGCUUUAUUAUAGUACCGGGAAAAAGAAGUAUCCUUAGUAUAGGUGAUGUUGAUGAUGAAGAAGAAUAUGAUGCUUUUGAAGACUUCACACCCUUUAUUAAUCCAAAAUCCAUGGAUGAAGAUAAUGUAGACGUUGGUUAUAUGCGUGUAGAUCACACAAAAUGAAUACAUUUGAAUUAGAUGAUUCACAAGGUCCUCAUCUAUAAUGCACCUUUUCAGAGAUAAAAUUAUUCUCAAGGUGGAGACUUCUAAUAAUGAGCAUCAUAGUGAUAAGGAUAAGGACUAUGAUCCUGGGAUGGAGAAGGACAUAAGUGAUGAUCAUGACUCCAAAAAGAGGGGUAACAUAAGUGAUGAUGACCCUCUCGUUAGACAUGAGAAAUUCAUUGAAUAAGCCCCACCAUAUCCCUCGGAGGUGGAAAUAGUAUCAAUGGAUGUUCUCACUAACACUACUAAAAACAUCCAGAUGUUGUCUAAAAGAGAAAAUGCCAAGGGCUUACGAAAAGCCUCAAAGUCACAGAACCCAUCACUUGGAAUACAAUGCAUAGGGUCAAACUUGUGGCAAAUGACGUAGCCAAUAUGGAAAACAAAUUGGCAUAUAUAUUUGUAAGAUUUCCAUAUUGUAAGCAUGGAAUGAGGUUCCAGAGGGUUUGAAGAACUCUCUAUGGUAUGAUACUGUGAAAUUUUUCUACAUUGAAUCCAAUGAGGAGAAAAAAAUGUUUUUCUUUUAGUUGUUAUUGAAAGAUUUAGGGAUUUCAAAUCCAAGCUUGUAACUGGCUGGAUCACUUAGAAACAUAAAGGUCAAAAUGGGAAACGAAGGUGCAAACUCAUCAAAUGUUUCCCAAGCACCUGCAGAGAUGUCCUAUGAAACAUGCGAUCGUAUAUCUAAGAAUGAAUGGGAAGCAUUUGUUGCAAAAAAAACUACUCCCACCGAAGUUGAAAAGCGAGGUAAAGCUUUUGAAUCAGCAAACAAAAGGAAGUUUUACCAUCUCUUAUACCCGAAAUUGAGCCCCACGGCCUCAUCUACGACUACCUUUCCAUCUGUGAAGACUCCUACAAGAGAUCGGGUGCAAGAUUGGUACUGUGGACUUUAUUCCUGAGAUUCAAGUGGCAAAUUUGCCAUUACUGAUCCGAGAACAAAGAAGGUUGCUGAUACUGUGAUAGCUGGAAGGAAAAAUAGUAAACGGGGGAGUUUACCCAUAAAAGCAAUGUUGAUGCAUUGCAAAUGUCUUAGGGAAAGAUUAUAAAGGGCGGGUAGUUGGAAAAGGAGGGGUUCACGUGGGUUAAAGAAGGCCUUUGUCAAAGAGUGUGUUGCUACUCAAUCAAGCACGAUGGCACCUGAAGAAGUAGUGACCCUCAAAAGGGAAAUUACGAAGGAUGUACUCGAAAAAGUUGCAGCCCUUUUGCAGAAAAUGGGAACACCCCAUGUGGACUAGGGAUGUUCAUAAUCGGGUACCCGGAAAGCUAGGUACCCGAUUAGUCGGGUACCUAUUUUAACGGCCCAUCUCCCGGCCCGAUUUUUCCGGGUACCCGAAUUCAUUAAUGUCAUUUUUUGUAGAAUUUAUUAGCAUUUUUUAGGUAGAAUUUUUUAGACAACAAAAAAAUGAUAACAUGAGAAUCGAAAAAACAACGAAAACAUUUAAAAAAUAAUAAAUAAAGAACAAUCUAGAAACAAACAAGAUGAACAUCUAAAAAUAAGAAAGAAAACGAUUCACGUACUCCUUACAACCCUAAUUUAGAAACAGUGAGAACAUGAAGAAGCAAGGGUUAAGGAGAAUAAAACAAAGUGAGUCCACUAUGAAGAAGUGAAGAAAUGAGAGACUGCCUGCAAUGGAACCCGAUUAAGACUGGUCGGGUACCCGACCAGUAUUUUAAAACUUUUUAAAUAAAAUCACACGCCAUUUAAGAUGUGGGUCAACGAGUCGGGUCAAUCGGGCAGCGGUUUUUUGAACCCCCCUAAUGUGGACUUGACAAAUAUCAUUAUCGCGGAUCAACAAAGUCAACAUGGGGAUCCUAAGGUUCGGGUUGAGCCAACACCCGAUCCCAUUACCCUCGUUGCUCAAAAUCUAACACCGAAGCCCAUUACCCCCGUAGCUCAAAAUCCAACACCUAAGCUCAUUAACCCCGUUGCUCAAAAUCCUGAGUUAACACCCAAGCCUGUGGUAAAGGAGGCGACUCCUUGUGCUCUUUUGCUGCCUCAGUUAGGUGUGGCUAGUGGUGGCGACUUAACUGAGGUUGCAUAUAGUGUUGCACUACCAACCAGAGAAGGCCAAACAAUGCAUUCUAUGCCUGUUACAGGUAGCCAGAUAAGUGUGACUGUAGAAACUAUUAUGAAGAGGUUUGAAGAUUUCUCACACCCAGUUCCAAUGCUAGAAUGGAGCCUUGAGAAACUUUCAGACACCUAAGGUAAUUUUGUCACAUGGUCAUAUGUUUGGGUCUGAUUCACUACUAAGGUAAUAAUUAUUUGUAUUUUAUUUAUUUUUAUUAUUUUAAUUGCAUGCUUAAACUAAUUAAAUUGUAUAAAUUUAAAUAGCAAAAGAGUCCAAAGGGCUCUAAAUAAGGGAUCAUUUACUCAUCAAAGAGGUCAGCUGAUUCAAAAAUCUCAAAGUCGAUGGAAACCAAUACAAUUUUGACAGAUGAGGAGCAAAAAGAUCUCUCUCUAAAUUUCAAAUGGCUGCACACAUGUGCAUCUCGCAUGUCUGAGGUGAAUCCAGUCAUGCUACCCCUACAGAAGGACUAAUUCAGCUUUGCUGAAAACCCCUUUGUAAUUAUCGGUCCGAGUGAUAUUGGGGAAGUCAUGUCUACAUGAAGUGAUGUUUAUUAUCUUACAUUUUGGGCUUUAUUGUUUAAUUUUUUAAAUAACCAAACGACUAACAAAAUUUCUUAAUCGUGAGUUUAGUGCGGCUUUUGAUGAGCUGAAUUGUUUCGAACCUCCAGUAGAAUUUUGAUGGUUUUGACCAGAAUCGAUUGCGGGUGUUAGAUGCAUACGACGUCAAAAUAUAUAUUGAGCGUGCUUUGAAAAAUUCACUUGCAGCUAAACACAUGUUCAUUAUGGCUCCAUAUGUUGAAGAUAUGCAUUGGAUGCUCGUGGUCAUAUGUUCUAUGACUAAUACCAUGCACGUCUUCGAUUCUUUUAAAGCUCAAAGCCCGCCUCGCAACAAAAGAUUAAAGCCUUGUUGAAUGCGUAAUUUUAUAAAUUUUACCAAUUGCAUUGAAGUGUAAUAUUAUAAAUGUUCUAUGACUAAUACCAUGCACGUGGUCAUAUUAUUACUAGCAUUUUGAUAUAUAAUACCUAUAAUUUGCCCAUGCAUUGUAGCACAAUGAACAAAGUGUGUGGAGAAAUAGGAUCCAGUUCGAGAGCCACCUUUCCGAAAUGGAAAACAGUAAAGGUCAACAACACUAAUUAGUAUAAAUUAUUGUUUUGAAAUGGUUAGAAUUGAAAAAAAUAGUCAUAUGUUUGAAAUUACGUGCUAAGUUGCUUUUUAAAGGUUUGAUAAGCUUUUUUUGGCACUUACUCGCUUAAAGUAGUUUAAAUUUGGUUUGUUUGGCAUAAAACUUGGCACACAACACAAAUUAGUAUAUAUUAUUGUUUUCAAAUGAUUAGAAUUGAAAAAAUAGUCAUAUGCUUGAAAUUAUGUGCUAAGUUGCGUUUUUUUAGCCUUUUAAAGCUUUUUUGGCACUAACAACCUUAAAGUAAUUCAAACUUGGUUUGUUUGGCAUGAAACUUGGCACACAACACUAAUUAAUAUAUAUUAUUAUUUUGAAAUGGUUAGAAUUGAAAACAAUAAUCAUAUGCUUGAAAUUACGUGCUAAGUUGCGUUUUUAUGUUUUCUUUAAGCUUUUUUGGCACUUACUCGCUUAAAGUAAUUCAAUCUUGGUUUGUUUGGCAUAAAACUUGGCACACAAUACUAAUUAGUAUAUAUUAUUAUUUUGAAAUGGUUAGAAUUUAAAAAAUAGUCAUAUGCUUGAAAUUACGUGCUAAGUUGUGUUUUAAAGGUUUUUUAAGAUUUUAUGACACUAACAUCUAAUAGCUCUUAGUGCUUUCAACAAGAUAAUGGUCUUGAUUUCGGUUACUACACUCUUAAAUUUAUGGAAGAUAUCUUACAAGCCGUCAAGAAUGUUGGAGUAGAAAAUAUUGAUGUGGUAUGUAUUUUAUGUUCUUAAAU
Molecule: long non-coding RNA, 8276 nt
Organism: Amaranthus tricolor (Joseph's coat)
Lineage: Eukaryota; Viridiplantae; Streptophyta; Magnoliopsida; Caryophyllales; Amaranthaceae
Exons: 7
Source: RefSeq, a predicted model, not a curated record